UUGUUUCAGCAGCACAUGUACUAAAAUUGGAAUGAUACAGGGAAGAUUAGCACGGCCCCUGCACAAUGAUGACAUGCAAAUUCACGAAGCAUUUUAUUUUUCU
Molecule: small nuclear RNA, 103 nt
Filed under: Buceros rhinoceros silvestris
Lineage: Eukaryota; Metazoa; Chordata; Aves; Bucerotiformes; Bucerotidae
Source: RNAcentral